GAUGAACGCUGGCGGCGUGCUUAACACAUGCAAGUCGAACGAUGAAGCUGGAGCUUGCUCUGGUGGAUUAGUGGCGAACGGGUGAGUAACACGUGAGCAACCUGCCCCUGACUCUGGGAUAACAGCCGGAGACGGCUGCUAAUACCGGAUAUGCACCAUGAACGCAUGUUCUGUGGUGGGAAAGAUUUUUCGGUUGGGGAUGGGCUCGCGGCCUAUCAGCUUGUUGGUGAGGUAAUGGCUCACCAAGGCGUCGACGGGUAGCCGGCCUGAGAGGGUGACCGGCCAAACUGGGACUGAGACACGGCCCAGACUCCUACGGGAGGCAGCAGUGGGGAAUAUUGCACAAUGGGCGAAAGCCUGAUGCAGCAACGCCGCGUGAGGGAUGACGGCCUUCGGGUUGUAAACCUCUUUUAGCAGGGAAGAAGCGAGAGUGACGGUACCUGCAGAAAAAGCGCCGGCUAACUACGUG
Molecule: ribosomal RNA, 469 nt
Filed under: uncultured bacterium
Lineage: Bacteria
Description: partial 16S ribosomal RNA
Rfam family: Bacterial small subunit ribosomal RNA
Source: RNAcentral